RNAcentral lists this transfer RNA (93 nucleotides) under Dactylosporangium siamense. RNAcentral describes it as "tRNA-Pro". Lineage: Bacteria; Bacillati; Actinomycetota; Actinomycetes; Micromonosporales; Micromonosporaceae. The record is from RNAcentral.
UCGUUGUUGGCGACGCGGGUGGUGUCGCGGGUCCGGAGUCUGUUCGGGGUUGAGGUUCCGGUGGCGGCAGUGUUCGAUGCGCCGACGGUGGCC